Molecule: ribosomal RNA, 253 nt
Filed under: uncultured bacterium
Lineage: Bacteria
Description: partial 16S ribosomal RNA
Rfam family: Bacterial small subunit ribosomal RNA
Source: RNAcentral
UACGGAGGGGGCUAGCGUUGUUCGGAAUUACUGGGCGUAAAGCGCGCGUAGGCGGACCUGCAAGUCGGGGGUGAAAGCCCGAGGCUCAACCUCGGAACUGCCUUCGAUACUGCGGGUCUCGAGUCCGGGAGAGGUGAGUGGAAUUCCUAGUGUAGAGGUGAAAUUCGUAGAUAUUAGGAAGAACACCAGUGGCGAAGGCGGCUCGCUGGCCCGGUACUGACGCUGAGGCGCGAAAGCGUGGGGAGCAAACAGG